This 63-nucleotide transfer RNA is filed under the name Dastarcus helophoroides. RNAcentral's name for it is "tRNA-Cys". The record is from RNAcentral. Lineage: Eukaryota; Metazoa; Arthropoda; Insecta; Coleoptera; Bothrideridae.
AGGUCUUAUAUUCAACAAUGAUUUUAAAUUGCAAAUUUAAAGGAGGGGUUUCCCUAAGACCUA